UUGAACGCUGGCGGCAUGCUUUACACAUGCAAGUCGGACGGCAGCACAGAGAAGCUUGCUUCUUGGGUGGCGAGUGGCGAACGGGUGAGUAACAUAUCGGAACGUACCGAGUAAUGGGGGAUAACUAAUCGAAAGAUUAGCUAAUACCGCAUAUUCUCUGAGGAGGAAAGCAGGGGACCUUCGGGCCUUGCGUUAUUCGAGCGGCCGAUAUCUGAUUAGCUAGUUGGUGGGGUAAAGGCCUACCAAGGCGACGAUCAGUAGCGGGUCUGAGAGGAUGAUCCGCCACACUGGGACUGAGACACGGCCCAGACUCCUACGGGAGGCAGCAGUGGGGAAUUUUGGACAAUGGGCGCAAGCCUGAUCCAGCCAUGCCGCGUGUCUGAAGAAGGCCUUCGGGUUGUAAAGGACUUUUGUCAGGGAAGAAAAGGCUGUCGCUAAUACCGACAGUUGAUGACGGUACCUGAAGAAUAAGCACCGGCUAACUACGUGCCAGCAGCCGCGGUAAUACGUAGGGUGCAAGCGUUAAUCGGAAUUACUGGGCGUAAAGCGAGCGCAGACGGUUACUUAAGCAGAUGUGAAAUCCCCGGGCUCAACCUGGGAACUGCGUUCUGAACUGGGUGACUAGAGUGUGUCAGAGGGAGGUAGAAUUCCACGUGUAGCAGUGAAAUGCGUAGAGAUGUGGAGGAAUACCGAUGGCGAAGGCAGCCUCCUGGGAUAACACUGACGUUCAUGCUCGAAAGCGUGGGUAGCAAACAGGAUUAGAUACCCUGGUAGUCACGCCCUAAACGAUGUCAAUUAGCUGUUGGGCAACUUGAUUGCUUAGUAGCGUAGCUAACGCGUGA
This 842-nucleotide ribosomal RNA is filed under the name uncultured Neisseria sp. RNAcentral's name for it is "bacterial SSU rRNA". It matches the Rfam family "Bacterial small subunit ribosomal RNA", at positions 29 to 862 of the family's 1533-position model. Lineage: Bacteria; Pseudomonadati; Pseudomonadota; Betaproteobacteria; Neisseriales; Neisseriaceae. The record is from RNAcentral.